Molecule: ribosomal RNA, 355 nt
Filed under: Maevius indecorus
Lineage: Eukaryota; Metazoa; Arthropoda; Insecta; Hemiptera; Hyocephalidae
Description: eukaryotic LSU rRNA
Rfam family: Eukaryotic large subunit ribosomal RNA
Source: RNAcentral
AAACACGGACCAAGGAGUCUAGCGUGUGCGCGAGUCAUUGGGUGAAAAACCUAAAGGCGUAAUGAAAGUGUCAGAGGGCGCUUGCGCUCUCAGUGGGAGGAUGGGCUUCCGGCUUUCAGUCGGGGCCCCGCACUCCCGGGGCGUUUCAUUCUCGUUUCGAGUCGAGACGCACCAGGAGCGCACACGCUGGUACCCGAAAGAUGGUGAACUAUGCCUGGCCAGGACGAAGCCAGGGGAAACCCUGGUGGAGGUCCGAAGCGAUUCUGACGUGCAAAUCGAUCGUCUGAGCUGGGUAUAGGGGCGAAAGACCAAUCGAACCAUCUAGUAGCUGGUUCCCUCCGAAGUUUCCCUCAGG